AGGGUUCUGUCCUGAGACAUCUA
Molecule: non-coding RNA, 23 nt
Filed under: Arabidopsis thaliana (thale cress)
Lineage: Eukaryota; Viridiplantae; Streptophyta; Magnoliopsida; Brassicales; Brassicaceae
Source: RNAcentral